Molecule: ribosomal RNA, 534 nt
Filed under: Triticum aestivum (bread wheat)
Lineage: Eukaryota; Viridiplantae; Streptophyta; Magnoliopsida; Poales; Poaceae
Description: partial small subunit ribosomal RNA
Source: RNAcentral
AUGUGUCGGACAGUGUCGGAUGCAGUCCAUGUGCUGGAUGCCAUCGUCGGCUACGACAAGCUCGAUGCCGCGGCCACUCGAGCAGCAUCCAAGUACAUACCUUACGGCGGAUAUCUGCAGUUCCUGAAGAAGGAUGGGCUGAGAGGGAAGAGGAUUGGCGUCCCCAAUGUAUUAUUUCAACAAGGACUUGGAGAGAAGCAGAUGAGGGUGUACGAACAGCAGCUUGGCAGAAUGAGGAAACACGGAGCCGUGGUGAUCGAGAACCUUGACAUCGGCAUCGACAGUCAAGAUAUUGUUUCCUAUGAGUGGACUGCCAUGCUGACGGAGUUCAAGUUGAGCAUAAACGAGUACUUGGCGGACUUGUCCUACUCUCCAGUCCAUUCUCUUGCAGACAUCAUAGCCUUCAACAAGGCGCAUCCUAUAGAGGCAAGCAUACUGAAAAAAACUCAUUCUAGCUUUCAUCUCUUCGGUCUUGUUAUAGAUUCAAACAGUGUACAAUCAUCUUGCAGAGGACAUCAGGCAAUAAAACUCUAA